GUGGGGAAUAUUGGACAAUGGGCGCAAGCCUGAUCCAGCCAUGCCGCGUGAGUGAUGAAGGCCUUAGGGUUGUAAAGCUCUUUUGUCCGGGAAGAUAAUGACUGUACCGGAAGAAUAAGCCCCGGCUAACUUCGUGCCAGCAGCCGCGGUAAUACGAAGGGGGCUAGCGUUGUUCGGAAUCACUGGGCGUAAAGCGCACGUAGGCGGACCAUUAAGUCAGGGGUGACAGCCUGGAGCUCAACUCCAGAACUUCGUUUGAUACUGAUGGUCUCGAGUUCGGAAGAGGUUGGUGGAACUGCGAGUGUAGAGGUGAAAUUCGUAGAUAUUCGCAAGAACACCAGUGGCGAAGGCGGCCAACUGGUCCGAUACUGACGCUGAGGUGCGAAAGCGUGGGGAGCAAACAGGAUUAGAAACCCCUGUAGUCC
Molecule: ribosomal RNA, 425 nt
Filed under: uncultured bacterium
Lineage: Bacteria
Description: partial 16S ribosomal RNA
Rfam family: Bacterial small subunit ribosomal RNA
Source: RNAcentral